This 497-nucleotide ribosomal RNA is filed under the name uncultured bacterium. RNAcentral's name for it is "partial 16S ribosomal RNA". It matches the Rfam family "Bacterial small subunit ribosomal RNA", at positions 28 to 507 of the family's 1533-position model. The record is from RNAcentral.
GACGAACGCUGGCGGCGUGCCUAACACAUGCAAGUCGAGCGAACAGACGAGGAGUUUGUUCCUCUGACGUUAGCGGCGGACGGGUGAGUAACACGUGGAUAACCCACCUAUAAGACUGGGAUAACCUCGGGAAACCGGAGCUAACACCGGACAAUAUAUUGAACCGUAUGGACUAAUAGUGAAAGACGGCUUUGCUGUAACUUCUAGCUGGAUCCGCGCUGCAUUAGCUAGUUGGUAAGGUAACGGCUUACCAAGGCAACGAUGCGUAGCCGACCUGAGAGGGUGGUCGGCCGCACUGGAAGUCAGACACGGUCCAGACUCCUACGGGAGGCAGCAGUAGGGAAUCGUCCGCAAUGGGCGGAAGCCUUACGGAGCGGCGGCGCGUGUGUUAUGAAGAUCUUCGGAUCGUGAAGCUCUGUUAUGAGUGAAGAACAAAUGUGUAAGUAACUAUACACGUCUUGACGGUACCUAAUCAGAAAGCCACGGCUAACUACGUG